CCGUGUUCUGUGCCUGACUCGGCUGGCGCCGGUCUGUCACAGAACACGGGA
Acyrthosiphon pisum (pea aphid) is the source of this 51-nucleotide non-coding RNA. The record is from Rfam. Lineage: Eukaryota; Metazoa; Arthropoda; Insecta; Hemiptera; Aphididae.